RNAcentral lists this ribosomal RNA (428 nucleotides) under uncultured bacterium. RNAcentral's name for it is "bacterial SSU rRNA". It matches the Rfam family "Bacterial small subunit ribosomal RNA", at positions 355 to 775 of the family's 1533-position model. The record is from RNAcentral.
UGGGGAAUCUUGCGCAAUGCGCGAAAGCGUGACGCAGCAACGCCGCGUGAGGGAAGACGGCCUUCGGGUUGUAAACCUCUUUCAGGAGGGACGAAGGUGCAGGCGCGAAUAGCGUCCUGUACUGACGGUACCUCCAGAAGAAGCUCCGGCUAACUACGUGCCAGCAGCCGCGGUAAUACGUAGGGAGCAAGCGUUGUCCGGAAUCAUUGGGCGUAAAGCGCGCGUAGGCGGCCCGGUAAGUCCGCUGUGAAAGUCAAAGGCUCAACCUUUGAAUGUCAGCGGAUACUGCCGGGCUAGAGUCCGGAAGAGGCGAGUGGAACUCCUGGUGUAGCGGUGGAAUGCGCAGAUAUCAGGAAGAACACCAACGGCGAAGGCAGCUCGCUGGGACGGAACUGACGCUAAGGCGCGAAAGCGUGGGGAGCGAACAG